This 192-nucleotide unclassified non-coding RNA is filed under the name Glomeraceae sp. RNAcentral's name for it is "partial contains 5.8S ribosomal RNA and internal transcribed spacer 2". The stretch from base 1 to 71 matches the Rfam family "5.8S ribosomal RNA", at positions 84 to 154 of the family's 154-position model. Lineage: Eukaryota; Fungi; Glomeromycota; Glomeromycetes; Glomerales; Glomeraceae. The record is from RNAcentral.
GUGAAUCAUCAAAUUUUUGAACGCAAAUUGCACUCCCUGGUAUUCCGGGGAGUAUGCCUGUUUGAGGGUCGUUAGAAUAAAAAAUCGCGGCGUUGCUCUUUUUUAUUAAGGGUGAUCGCCUCGGAAUUGACACGUACUUGAAAUGAAAAUUCAUGUCAAAGUGGUCUAAAAUCUAUAUAACAGGCACGCUUA